RNAcentral lists this long non-coding RNA (957 nucleotides) under Homo sapiens (human). RNAcentral's name for it is "HSALNT0402027". The record is from RNAcentral. Lineage: Eukaryota; Metazoa; Chordata; Mammalia; Primates; Hominidae.
UGAACCUGGGUUCAGACACUGCCGUUGCUGUGGGUGAGCGGCUGUUCUGCCUGUGGAGCAGCAUCGGGUGGGUGGUUGCCUGGCACCGUGACUGUUAGGAGAACUUCUGCAUGGCCGGGGUGUACUUUAUGGGGGGUGCGGCCCCCUGUAAUCGCUCUGCAGUCUGGGCACCCUGUGAUGGGGGCCUGGUCCUCAUCUGCGGCUGCCUCGGCUGGCUCCGAUGUGAGCCAAGUUGGGAUCUUUCCAGAGACCCCUCAAUUCGGGACUUCCUCCAAAGGACACAUCUUCCGACACUGGAAGAAGCUUUCAAAAGAGCUCCCCAAAGGAUCCCAUCCAGGGUGCCGCAUCCCAUUCAGUCGUCAUGUCUCCUAGGCUGCUCUGGUCUGUGACAGUUUCUUACUGUUCCUUGCUUUUGAUGAACUUGACCGCUUUGGGGAGUACAACUCCAAUGUUUUGCGAAAUGCCCUCCGAUCUGAGUAUGUCUGAUGUUUUCAUCAUGGUUAGACCAGGAUGAUGGGUUUCUGUCACGUCGUAUCAGUAGAGGGUACAUGAUACCCACAUGGCCUUGUUUUUACUUUUAAGAAAUUCUGGAAAUGUCAACAAUACUGCAUAUUUCUUAUGGGAUGUGUAUCUGUAUCUCAGCCAUCGUAUGUGGUAAGAUGUUAACAUUGCACUCUCCUGCAAUCUGUCUCACUCAAUCUCAGAGUCGUGGAGGUCCCCACACCAAAGGGACCCCUGUGGUUAACUCUGAGGGAGGGUGGUGGGGACUAGUUAUGGUCCCCUGGAACCUGUGAAUGUGACCGUAUUUGGGAAAAGUGUCUUUGCAAAUAUAGUUUAGGAUCUCAAGAUGAAAUCCCCCUGGAUUCGUGCAGGCCCCAAGUCCAAUGACAAGUGUCCUUAGGAGAGAAGAGAAGAGGAGACACACACAGGAGCAGUCUAUGUGAAGUCGCAGGCAGA